UUGAAACACCGGUUCCCAUACAGUCACUGAAGUUAAGCAAUGUUGAGCCUGGAUAGUACCUAGAUCAGUGACUGGUUUUGAAAACCAGAUGCUGUAAG
Molecule: non-coding RNA, 98 nt
Organism: Acanthosepion pharaonis
Lineage: Eukaryota; Metazoa; Mollusca; Cephalopoda; Sepiida; Sepiidae
Source: the annotation of a GenBank genome assembly